GCCUCGGCCUCCCAAAGUGCUGGGAUUAGAGGCGUGAGCCACUGCGCCCAGCCUUAAGUUCUUUAUUUUCUAUCUUGUGGACCAAAGGACUGCUACAGGCAAGGAAGACCAUCUGACUCAAUUCCAGAGGUUCCUUAGCAUGCUGCUGACUGGCCUAGGAGAAUGGCCUUUGCCCAUAAAGUAUUAGAUGUAGACCACAUGAAUGGAAUAUUCACCAGGUUUCUGCCCAGGUCUGGAUUGGGCAAGGACAUGGCUGGAGGUGCCUUACAGGAGAGAAGGCCAAAGAGAGAGAAGACUUGACUCCCAACCUGAUUCCAGCAGAACUCCACUUUGAUGUGUUUUUAAAAUUGUGCUCUUCUGUUUGCUUUCACGGAGGCUGCCAUGAAACGUCAUCUUUGACUAGAAUUAUCAGGAAAUGCUCAUGGAAGAAAUAUACUUCCUUGGAUUUUUUUUCCUACCACACUUCAGGAUAUAACUAGAGAAAACAUUUGCCAACAGUGCUUAUCAUAUUAGUACCCUGUGAAGGUUUUCAUAGAUGCUGAUUAUUAUUUUUAAAAUCAUUUCGGGAAUAGGAGCCAAACACUAGGUCAUGACUGUACUUACUUUAGUAUUUACAUUAAGUGAUGAAAAAUGGAAAUAAAGGAAAUGUCCUGUCAUGAAACAAGUUAGAAUUAGGUGACUUUCAUGUCCUGAUUUCCAAGGUUUUCUGUUUGUUUCAGACAGACAAGAUCAUCCAUGGGUUCUUGGACAAGUAAUAGGUCUCAUUUUCCCUUGUAGACCAGAAGACAUGGAAAAGACAGCAUAUUCGGACUAUAUUCAUAUUUCCAUACCAUCUUUUGUUGUAAUUGAUUUUCAACAAGAGCCCCUAACAAUCUCUUGAGUUUGGGCCAUCCCCAUAUUCUACAAGGGAAAAUGAGAUCUCUUACUACUCCAAUAACCCAUGCUUACACUAUCUGUAUGGAACAAACAGAGAACCAUCAAAAUCUGAACGCAGAAGUCACUUAUUUAGUCCCAAUCUAUUUUGUGAAAGAAAAUUUCUUUUACUCAAAGAGAUGAAGAAAUUUACGGAAUGGCUUGGGAAUGAGAAGAUUCAGGUGGGACCAUGGAAGCAAAGCUUGUUCUUUUGUGGAUGCACACCUGGGGAGUACAUCUGUGCAUUUAUCCUCUGUUCACAGCUGAGGCAACUGAGACUGAAACAGGCAAAGUGGUUUGUCCAAGAGCAAAGCCAGGGGCAGGGAAGUUUGAAAGAAAGAAAAAUAUGCCAAGAUGAUUAAGUUUCACCUAAGAUUUUAAAGCUCCCACCUAAAAGAUGUGGAAAACAAGCACUAUACCAGGAUAUUGUACCUUAUUUCUGCCCUGUCUUAAAAACACCAUGACAUUUUCCUUGAUUUCAAGAAUACAGAAAAUGAACAUGGUCCUUUAAAUUAUGUGACUCUUUCGAAGCAAAAUGACAACAAGGAAAAACCACAUUUGUUUUCUGCCUCCCUUUUUCAAGAAGCUGAAAAUAUAGUGUAAAUGAACUCUUGGUCGUGGGUCAACAUCCUUACAAUACCUGCCCCUCGUUCUCAGGUUAGAGAUUUCUCCUCUGCCUUUUCAUUCUCACCCACACCCAACUUGAAAUAGGUCUCCAGGUCCCAUUUUGAUCACAUAUUCUUUCAGUCACAUGCGGAACAUGAGAAGGGGUUAAAUGUAGCUCUGCAAGACCAGCAAAACUCAUCACUAAACUGGAAAACAACUUCAGGCUUACUAUCAACAGGGGGUAGUUAGCAUCAGUUUAAAGACUGUGAAUGUGCACAAAUGUUUUCUAAGAAUAUUUUUCAGAAGAGUGUAAUUAUAGGUAUAAUCUCUAAUUGCAUUAUAAAUGAUAAAUAAGAGACGGUUAGCAAACUAUAUUUCAGGGCUGUUUGCUGUACUUAUCUGCUGCCAUCACUGGCCCUGUCUUCCUUUGUGACUGCAGACUGUGUUGUUUAUUAGUCUUGGUGGUAAGGGGGAAUUGCUGUACAGUACUUUUGUGUUAGGACAGGAUCUUACAGAUGAUAAUGAAGGUUGCAGGAAGGACUGUUGAAACGUUUUAUUUUGGUAUUUGUUUCAUUUUUAAAGGCUGUGACUAGGACUUCAUACCUGUCUAAUAAGCAUGCAUGUAACAUUUUUAUAUUUGCUGAGUGCUUCAUAGUCCUCCAUUAGUCCCCACAAUACCCCUUGAGGGUAGGUCAGUAUUACAGUUUACAAUAUGAGGAAAUUUAAGAUACAAAGGGAUUAUGUGAUUUGUACAAGGUCACCCAGCAUGCAAGCCUAGCUAAUAAAAUAUGACUACAAAGCUCUUUCCAAAUAAAAAGUACCUUAUAAAUGUUAGGUAGUAUUAAUGGGUAUGAUCCCAGAAUGAGUAAAAUACUCUUCAGGAGUAAAGUGCUCAUACAUGGUAUAUAAUAUUAAUUCUCUCUCUUUUUUUUUUUUUUUUUUUAACCUGUGGGUGACUUUUGAAAUAGUUAUUCUUGAACCUGGCUAUGCAUCAGAAAUGUCUCUAGAGUUUUUAGAACAUGUGAGCACAUAGACCCCUACUCAGCCGACAGAAUCAUAAUCUGGGCAGUGGGAUUUAGAUAAUUAUGCCUUGAAAAAUCUCCAUGGGGGAUUUGGAUGCUCAGUCAGAGCUGAGAACCACUACUCUAGGCUAGAAGAGUAACAUCGGUCAGGCCAAGAGCAACAACAAAACACUGUGGAGUUAAUUCAGAAGAGAAAGUCUGGUGUCUUCCAGGCCUCUGUCCAGCCAGUUCACAACUAUUAUUAGCAGAGGAACUGCCUCCCUGAAAUAAUCAACUGUAAUAACCAUGUGUGAAAUUCCCGGAAAUAGUGCAGAGAUUAAAGUUUAUUUAAGAACCGUCA
RNAcentral lists this long non-coding RNA (2880 nucleotides) under Homo sapiens (human). RNAcentral's name for it is "HSALNT0329334". Lineage: Eukaryota; Metazoa; Chordata; Mammalia; Primates; Hominidae. The record is from RNAcentral.